This 18336-nucleotide long non-coding RNA is filed under the name Triticum aestivum (bread wheat). RNAcentral describes it as "long non-coding RNA (TAES_LNC028260)". Lineage: Eukaryota; Viridiplantae; Streptophyta; Magnoliopsida; Poales; Poaceae. The record is from RNAcentral.
AUUACCAAGUGCUAAUUUUUGACAGUCUACUUGUCUCCUUGAUUAAUUACCUGGAUCUGAUGCCUUUUAUCAGUGGGAUUUGAAUGAUUAUUUAGCUAGCCCCCAUGAUUGAAGUUGUUGAAUGUUAGUUUCUUUGGAAUGCUACAGAGAAAAAGUGUGUGUACCUAUAAGCAAUACAAAAGACAUCUUUAUCAACGAAUCCAAACAAAUGGAGAUCUGCCUCCCAUGAUAGUUUUUCAUAUUAAAAUACAGUUACAGUUGGGAACAUACAUAGUAUAGGAUUAUGACCAGAAGAAUAAAAACAAAUAGAAUAUCACAUGCAUGUCAACAUAGUAUUUUAUUACUGUACAUCAUUUUCCAUUGUUUGAUAUGAUGGAGAAGUGCAACUCGAUAUAGUCACUUAUCACAGACAACACACAUACAAGAGUUUACCAAAAUGUUAUCAGCAUGACAAUACGAAUGAUCAAGGAGAUUCCGCCACUUCUGCUCGCAUGUUGCCUGGCAAGUAACAGGAAAGCAAAUAAAAGGUUCCCAGAAAGCACGAUAGGUAUGGCAAUUCCCUGUUGUCAAGAAAAUACAUCAGCAAGAGAUAUCCAAACUAAGAAACUUGUGGAGUUCUACUAUGCUUGGAGGGAUAAGGGAAACACGUAUAUAGGGACAUGGAGAUUGAUUUCUUACUAGCAUGGCUUGAAUUUCCUAGCAGCACAAGUACCAUAAGGCAAAGAAGAAUAGUUUUCCCCUCCAUAUCUGAUUCUCGUUUUGGUUUGGGGAUCAAGAAGCAUAUAUGAUGUUAUGUUAUAGCAUUGUCUCUAGAGACAUUUAUUCCCCAUUCACUCAAAUAUAAUAAAAAAAGAUCUGGCCAUAUCAUCUAUCUAUAUCUAUAUCUAUAUCUAUGUAUCUAUGUAUCUAUGUAUCUAUGUAUCUAUCUAUCUAUCUAUCUAUCUAUCUAUCUAUAUCAAUAUACAUAUAUAUACUUAUAUAUUGCGUGUAGUAAUCAACAAGGAGCCAUGCAGCCGCCACCUCCUAAAAAAAAGCUAAGGUUUGUACCUCUGCCGGCUCCGUCGCAUGCCCGCCUCGUCCCCGUUGGCCCUAUGACAAUGAGGGCGCGGUGAAUCCUGUCAAGGGCCAGCGGGUGGGCUCCAUUGUUAGUUGUUCCUUUGAGAUUUGUUAUGGUUUGUGUCCUGCUCAGGAAGGCGAGAUGGCAGUGGGUCCUUGAAGAUGGAACAAAGGUCUCCCCGCCUAGCCCCCGUUCCGUUGGUGCAUCUAGCAUCGUUGGUGGGCCGGUGGAGGUGUGUCUCCGGUGGAUCUAUCCUUGGUGGAUUUCCUCGGAUCUAGUUGUUAUUCGUCUAUAUUCGUGUGUCUUCGGGUUGGAUCUUUUCGAUCUACGUUAUGCUUCAUCGGCAGCGGUUGUUGUUCUGGUGCGCUUGUCCUAUAGGGCCUUAGCACGAUGACUUCUCAACUGUCUACUACAACAAGUUGUGCCUAACUCCGGCGAGGGAGGGGCGAUGACGGUGGUGCGCCUUCGGCUCGUUUCAGUGCUUGUAGUCGUCGCUAGGUGGUCUACAUAUCUAGAUGUGUUUUUUAUUAUUUCUGGUCUUCGUUGUAUUGCAUGAUUGAAAUGAAUAGAUCAGAAGGUUUCUCGCAAAAAAUAUACUUCUAUAUCAAUAGCUAUACACAUAUAUACUUACUAUUAAUUAUAGACUCCCAAAAAAUUCUUAUGUUAAUCAGAAAUUAUGAACCGUUUAUCUAGUUGGACCGACAACACCGUAAGUAGAACUCAAGUUUCGACAACGAAUAUCAUUCUAUCGAUCAAUCAACCUUUUUGUACAAUUGAAUUUACAAAUUUCUUCUACGCACAUGUGACAAAACAAGCAGGCAUCAAUACGCAUGCCCAACCAUGAAGAUCCAUUGGACUUGAAAAAUAAAGACGAAGCAAACGUCAGAGACAAGACAAUUCCUAAAAGGCUUAAAAGAUUCCUUGAUCUGGAAGAAGGAGAGCAACUACAAGAUUUCGACAUGGUAAGCACAUCUCAUGUUACGGAUAAGAGAUACAAUCUCGACACUACAAUUCUAUCUAACGAUCAAAAAAUCAUGUCUAAAUCCCUUCGUUGCAUUUUUGCAGUUCUUUCUACCAGUUUGCAUAGGCGGGCAUGUUCAACAAAAACAAAGAACUGUGGGCCACUACUUCGUUGUUACAAUUAACAUGAAAAAAGAGCGCUUUGAACUUCUUGACUUUUUACCAGAUGAAUAUACAGGCACAAUGGACUACUUCAACACAGUAACAAGCAGAGUAAAGAGGAUAUGGAAGCAAAUAAGCCCAUUGCUCCAACUGUCUCCAAGUAAUAUUGACCAUUUCGAAAAGGUCAAGAUGAAGGUGCCAUUUCAGGGAAAAACGUAAGCACUACAAACCUUUCUCCUUUUCCUUACUCACUGUAACAAUUAUUGAUGAAAUCCAUAAAAAAACAUAGGACAUUAGGACAACUUCACCUAAACUGCCCAACCAUCUUUGGACAGUGACAAUAAUCAAUCAUCCUUCUACCUGCAGACUCGAUUGUGCGUUCUAUUUGUUCAUGAACGCAAAGUACUAAACCGGCGAUGGAGAAAUAGUGUUACUAACAGAGGAACAAGUCCCAAAGUUGAGAAAGAAAAUUCUCUAUCAAAUAAUCAGCCAAUACAGAGAUAAGGCCGCACUGUCGUUAAUCAACUACACCGCAUGUUUCACUUACUAAAGACAACAAAGUAAAAUUCUGCUUAUCUAAUUUUCGGAGACACACCAAUAAAUUUUUAUUUUUAUUUUAUCAGAUAUGCUGAAAUCUGAUGUCGAUAUGGAAGACAGUGAAAUGCAACGAAUACAUUGUGACAUAAUUCAGCAAGAGAUUCCUUCAACUCCCGAGCACAUUGGGACGAGCGCUCAAGAGAUAAAAGUUAUUGACAUUAAUGACACAAGCAGCGAUGAGGAGAAAGAAGAUUAUCAUGUGAGCAGCAAGUAUACCACCAAGGUGUCUGAAGAAGCACUCACGGAAGAACAAGCCUAGACAAUGCUAGUUUACAGAGGGAACAACACGCGCAGCCAGACGCUGAUUUACAAAAGGAAGACGAACGGAAAGAUCCACCGAUAGAACCAGACAGACCACCCCCAGAUAAAAACAACGAAGGCAUAACACGCUCUCCUUUAGAAGUGGAUAACAGGACAAAGAGCGUACCAACUCGCCAACAACAGCUUUCCAAACAGAACAUGAACACUAUUGGCAAAGAUCGCAUAUCAGGAACAUCACCAGAGGCAGAACAUGCACAAGAAGAAAAGAAACAGAAGGAGAAGCAUUUACUAGAGAAGAUACUUCAAAAGAGGAAACGCGAUGCUGAAGUCUCAGUAGAACCGAGCAUCAAAAACAACAACACAUAAAAGGACACACCAACACCUGAGCAGCUUAACGAGCAGGCGCAGUUAGGUCACGACAAGAAAAGGGAAAGGCAUCUUGCAAGAGUGCAGACAAGUUCCCCAAAACCCUCGACGAUUCAAUCACAUGAGAUCAGCUCAGCAAACAUAAUUUCAACUAAGAGGCCAUUCAAGCGAGCAAGCAAGGAAAUUGAGAAAGUCAACGCUCCAGCACUUGUUCCAGGAGAUUUCAUUUACGAAGAAAAGGCCAUGCAACUCUAUAGAUAUCUGAUGAGCCAACAAGGACAGAAAGAAUGCGGACGGUAAGCAGAUUCUCCUUGUUCCAUGGAAACAAUUACACAGAGCUACACAUUCUCUAACAUCUAACUAACCAUUCACUCACCAACUUCUAAACCCUCCUUGCUUGCAGAGAACAGCUAUAUAAAAGCUCAAAGCGCGAAGGCUACAUUUCAGGAAAAUCCUUCAUGGAACAAGUAGAGAAAGGAGAUGCAUAAAUGGAGGGCUCCAUGCUAAACGCGUUACUGGACGAAUGGACAGAACAGGAACAGUUCAACCCAGACGUCACAACAGUACUCCCUGCAGAAUUCGCAAAUGUAUGCAUACCUCACCCGGAAAAACACCACCGUCAUUACUAUGGUAGAAUAUUUAACUAAUACCACACACUCUCUUUCUUGAAGAUGGUGCUAGGUCUCAAUUAUAAUAGAGAACAGCUAUCAGAAUUCAACGAAGACGAUGCACUACAAGCAUUUGAACAACUCGUGCGAGGUAAAAACACCCUGCAAUCGAAGAUGGUAAUUUCGGAACUAUUACUGAACACAUGACUUAUUCUCCUUGAGCUUCAACAAUUAAAUGAAAUUCAAUUUUUACAUCAACAACGAUCUCCGCUCUCAACGUAGAUCAUGAUACCUCAUCACACAGACGAGCACUACAUGGUAUAUGUAAUGAACAAGUACAGAGAUAGCAUCGACAUCCUUGACUCACUGAACUAUGUAAACUACGCCGAUUUGUCUUUGAGUAAACACCAUGUGCAUCGAGCAGAACUGGUACGUACUUUUUGUACAUUGAUUUAUUAUUUUCCUCGUGAUAGUAUGAUACUCUUACUUUUAUCAAUGCCGCACCCAAACAACAUAACCAAAAUGCAAUCACAGAUGAGAAGGAUGUCGGUGCUGAUGAACAAGUACCACCAACUAAAACAAAAGAACGAACAAGACUGGGCAAGGAUAGCAGAAAGGCCUCACAGGGUCUGCACACCAAAGCAAGAAGGAACGAAAUGCGGACACUUCACGGCCGAAUUUGCGAAGCACUGGAAUGGGAAAGAACUGGUCAAGGACAGAGAGAAUUUUCAUGUAAGUUACCAGUACAUACACGUCAAAUUACUUGAUUUCUUUAUUGCCGCAAUUAGUUUAUUCACAAUGGUGGACAACAUGUAACUAUAAACCAUACAUUUUGACAUGCCUGCAGGCCAGCAAGGUGGAUGCCGAAUGAAAACCAGAGUACGUAUACACACUCAUAUUCGGUAAAACCAACCAAAUAAAGCACCAUCAACUUCCUGAAAAAAUCAAAGUUUUCAAACCAUAGACUAUAAACCUUUUUUCGCAUGAAAGGUAAUAUAACUAUUUUCAUUUUUACCAUCAGUCAACAUGACAGGAACUUCAAAUAUAUCUUUUAGAAACAACAGCCAUAAUUUUUUAUCUAUUUUGACAGAGCGAGACGAAAAAAACCAAGAUCAAUCAAGGAGCACCAACAAAUACCUGCAACACCGGCAUUCUUCAGACACGUGUGUAAGGCAAACGAGCUCUACGACAUAGUCAUGAGUGACACAUGGCAGGACAGAUUCAAAAGGUGACUUGGUUCCUUUUCCAACUGAAAUUAGUUAAAGUUACGCGGCAAUCACACAAAUAAGACAGAAACUAGAAAGAACCUUGAAUUCCUGUUUAUCAGCUUGCUUGUUAGUGACAUUCUCAACAAAAGUUUCUUCUACUAUUUUACCUGUAAGCAGAGAAGUAGUAUUCUCGAGAGAACAACCACAGGGGAACAGCACAACUCUCACUGGAUCAAACCUAAAGGAAAUAUUUGGGCCUGCAAACAAGAAAAAAUGUCAAGGAAUGGAAAAGAAGGUGCUCGAUGAGUUAGCAGAAGCAUGGGAGGGAAGCAAGCAAACUACACACAGAAGACAUAGACUAUUAUUAGGCCCAAUCUUUCCAGAGGUAAAUUUAAAAAAAACACAAUGAUCAUACAAACUCAUCUUUUUGCAACGAUUGUUUAAUCUCUUGGUACCGAUCUAUUCUGUCUAAUUUGUUUUUAUGGUUUUUUAUUUGUUGCCUGCAGAAUAUUCUGGGUUUAAAGGAUAAAAGAAAAUCUAUGGCGGACUUCAGAGAUGAUUUCACACGAGAGAAGGAUACCUGGUUCCUUUGUUCCUUAAGAAAUGUCAACCAGACAAGCUCAAAACAGCAAAAAUAGUAAUAGCGUUAAAACAAUAUUCUAAACUCUCCUCUAACAAUAAAACACUCCUCUAACAAAAUAAAAAUAAGCAUUUCAAACAAAAUACUAUAUUCUAAACUCUCCUCUAACAAUAUAACUUUUGUACCGCAGGUAUUCAUGCCAUUUGAAAAGGAAGACCAAUACACACUAUUAGUGCUCGACAAAUAUAGAAGGAAGCUUCAAAUCAUCGAGCCUGAAGAAACCACUCUUGAAGAAUUGAAGAGGCAAGAAUACCUGAAAAAACAAUGUGCUCACCACGUGCAUGAUGGCAAAUUAAGUAAGCAAAUUGUUGACAUGGAAAUCAACGAAGCCAACAAAAAAAAGGAGCAUAACAAAUACCACAACCAUAAAGACAAACUGGUAAGAAUUGUAAAUAACAGCGUCUUUCAGUUUUACAAAUUACACUACAUGUCUCUCUAAAACAAAAACAAAAUGCAAUUCCUAGGUGCCCAGGUUCAAGGUAGUAUACGAAAUAUUACUCAGUGAAAAAUUCGAAAAGGGAAGGACUAAAUGGGAAGUUCAAUUUUUAAAGGGCGUUCCAAAGGUGAACAAAGGUGAAACCCCAUUUGCUGUUCUAAGGUUCGCGCAUCUCUUUGAUGGCAACCACUUCGUCGAAGAGAUAGAUAAUUUCUACGUAAGUUUUCGCUUAAAACUCGCUAUAAAUCUGCAAGAUAUCAUACAACAGCAUGACCUAAUUCUGAUGUGUUUUUUCUCCUUAUUUUUCAUUGAAUUUUUUAUAGGAUGGCACGGAACAAUGGAAAGCACAACAACUAUGUAGGCUACUAUCUAGCAAUCAGAAUACAAUCGAACCCAGCGAAAUGGGCGAUGAGAUUAGAAAGAUCUAUGAUGACAUCAAGGAAUAAAAAGUUGUUGAUAAGUGAACAAGCCUAGCUCCGUCAAAACAUCAGAAAAUGGUUUAACCGCACAUCAUACUGUGAUAAUGAAGCAACAGACUCUUUUUAUUGAUGUAGUUCCUUGAUUCUUCAUUAACCAAGCAUUCAAACACAAGCCAGUGCCCCAAGUCCGUCCCUAGACAUACGUGCAUCACAUCGACGUGCAGUUACUCUACAUACUCCUCACGCGUGACCGCCGGUGACUUUGAUGUUUCACAAACAUUCCUCCUCUCUGCAACCGUGUGCUGCCGAAUGCCACCAACCUACAGCAUGCAUCUGUCGUGAGUACAAACGUGACUCUCUAAAUGAGUAUUCAAACAAAUGCAUGUGGUGCCACCCACUCACGCCGUUAGAGGCCUCACUCCUGUGCAUCCACAAUGGUGCCUCUCCUACCACACCACCAUGCAUCCAGAGGAUUGAGGGCCACUGAUGCCUCUCGAAGCCCCACACCAUUCCACGCCUGUGAUGCCAGAUACGCGUGACUUUCUAGAGGCUUGACAACCGUGACUCCCUAACUGUGUAUUCGGAAACAUGCUUCUGGUACCACACUUUUGAACAUCCACAGUAUUGAUAGUUGUUCGAAACAACAAAAACACAACUUCCGUGCCAAUUGAGUCUUCACCUCCGUGAUUUCUGUGCCUGCAUCCACGUGCCUAACGUGUCACGCCCCGCGACACUUACAUGAUCGCAGUACCACACCCGUGUCUCUUCACAAACGUCACUGUUGGAAAUAUGACCUAGAGGCAAUAAUAAAUUAGUUAUUAGUAUAUUUCCUUGUUCAUGAUAAUCGUUUAUUAUCCAUGCUAUAAUUGUAUUGAAAGGAAACUCAGAUACAUGUGUGGGUACAUAGACAACACCAUGUCCCUAGUAAGCCUCUAGUUGACUAGCUCGUUGAUCAAUAGAUGGUUACGGUUUCCUGACCAUGGACAUUGGAUGUCGUUGAUAACGGGAUCACAUCAUUAGGAGAAUGAUGUGAUGGACAAGAACCAAUCCUAAGCCUAGCACAAAGAUCGUAGUUCGUAUGCUAAAGCUUUUCUAAUGUCAAGUAUCAUUUCCUUAGACCAUGAGAUUGUGCAACUCCCGGAUACCGUAGGAAUGGUUUGGGUGUACCAAACGUCACAACGUAACUGGGUGGCUAUAAAGGUGCAUUACAGGUAUCUCCGAAAGUGUCUGUUGGGUUGGCACGAAUCGAGACUGGGAUUUGUCACUCCGGUUGACGGAGAGGUAUCUCUGGGCCCACUCGGUAGGACAUCAUCAUAUGUGCACAAUGUGACCAAGGGGUUGAUCACGGGAUGAUGUGUUACGGAACGAGUAAGGAGACUUGCCGGUAACGAGAUUGAACAAGGUAUCGGGAUACCGACGAUCGAAUCUCGGGCUAGUACAAUACCGCUAGACAAAGGGAAUUGUAUACGGGAUUGAUUGAGUCCUUGACAUCGUGGUUCAUCCGAUGAGAUCAUCGUGGAACAUGUGGGAGCCAACAUGGGUAUCCAGAUCCCGAUGUUGGUUAUUGACCGGAGAACGUCUCGGUCAUGUCUGCAUGGUUCCCCAACCCGUAGGGUCUACACACUUAAGGUUCGAUGACGCUAGGGUUAUAAUGGAAGUUUGUAUGUGGUUAUCGAACGUUGCUCGGAGUCCCAGAUGAGAUCCCGGACGUCACGAGGAGUUCCGGAAUGGUCCGGAGGUAAAGAUUUAUAUAUGGGAAGUCCUGUUUUGGUCAUCGGAAAGGUUUCGGGUUUUAUCGGUAAACGUACCGGGACCACCGGGAGGGUCCCGGGGGUCCACCAAGUGGGGCCACAGGCCCCGGAGGGCUGCAUGGGAUAACUGUGGGAGGGGACCAGCCCCAGGUGGGCUGGUGCGCCCCCCACAAGGGCCCAAGGCGCCUAGGGUUUGGGGGAACCCUAAAAGGGGGCGCCCCCCCUUUCCUUGGGGGGCAAGGCAACCCCCCUGGCCGCCGCCCCCUCCUUAGAUUGGAUCUGAGGGGGCCGGCCCCCCUCUCCCUUGCCCCUGUAUAUAUAUGUGGGGGUUGGGAGGGCAGCCACACCCAAGUUCUGGCGCAGCCCUCCCCCUCUCCCAAGUCCUCCUCCUCUCCCACGGUGCUUGGCGAAGCCCUGUAGGAUUGCCACGCUCCUCCACCACCACCACGCUGUUGUGCUGCUGCUGGAUGGAGUCUUCCUCAACCUCUCCCUCUCUCCUUGCUGGAACAAGGCAUGGGAGACGUCACCGGGCUGUACGUGUGUUGAACGCGGAGGUGCCGUCCGUUCGGCACUAGGAUCUCCGGUGAUUUGGAUCACGACGAGUACGACUCCUUCAACCCCGUUCUCUUGAACGCUUCCGCUUAGCGAUCUACAAGGGUAUGUUCUCCAUAGAUAGAUCUUGGUGUCACGUAGGAAAAUUUUGAAUUUCUGCUACGUUCCCCAACAGUGGCAUCAUGAGCUAGGUCUAUUGCGUAGAUUCUUUGCAUGAGUAGAACACAAAGUAGUUGUGGGCGUUGAUUUUUUUGAAUAUGCUUACCGUUACUAGUCCAAUCUUGUUUCGACGGUAUUGUGGGAUGAAGCGGCCCGGACCGACCUUACACGUACAGUUACGUGAGACAGGUUCCACCGACUGACAUGCACUUGGUGCAUAAGGUGGCUAGCGGGUGCCAGUCUCUCCCACUUUAGUCGGAACGGAUUCGAUGAAAAGGGUCCUAAUGAAGGGUAAAUAGCAAUUGGCAUAUCACGUUGUGUUUUUGCGUAGGUAAGAAAGUUCUUGCUAGAAACCCAUAGCAGCCACGUAAAACAUGCAAACAACAAUUAGAGGAUGUAUAACUUGUUUUUGCAGGGUAUGCUAUGUGAUGUGAUAUGGCCAAGAAGAAUAUGAUGAAUGAUAUGUGAUGUAUGAGAUUGAUCAUGUUCUUGUAAUAGGAAUCACGACUUGCAUGUCGAUGAGUAUGACAACCGGCAGGAGCCAUAUGAGUUGUCUUAAUUUAUUGUAUGACCUACAUGUCAUUGAACAACGCCAUGUAAUUACUUUACUUUAUUGCUAACCUGUAGCCAUAGUAGUAGAAGUAAUAAGUUGGCGAGACAACUUCAUGGAGACACGAUGAUGGAGAUCAUGAUGAUGGAGAUCAUGGUGUCAUGCCGGUGACGAUGAUGAUCAUGGAGCCCCGAAGAUGGAUAUCAAAAGGAGCAAAAUGAUAUUGGCCAUAUCAUGUCAUUAUUUGAUUGCAUGUGAUGUUUAUGAUGUUUAUGCAUCUUAUUUGCUUAGAACAACGGUAGUAAAUAAGAUGACCCCUUAUUAAAAUUUCAAGAAAGUGUUCCCCCUAACUGUGCACCGUUGCGAAAGUUCGUCGUUUCGAAGCACCACGUGAUGAUCGGGUGUGAUAGAUUCUUACGUUCACAUACAACGGGUGUAAGCCAGAUUUACACACGCGAAACACUUAGGUUAACUUGACGAGCCUAGCAUGUACAGACAUGGCCUCAGAACACAAGAGACCGAAAGGUCGAGCAUUGGUCGUAUGGUGGAUACGAUCAACAUGAAGAUGUUCACCGAUGAUGACUAGUCCAUCUCACGUGAUGAUAGGCCACGGCCUAGUUGACUCGGAUCAGGUAAUCACUUAGAUGACUGGAGGGAUGUCUAUCUGAGUGGCAGUUCAUUGGAUGAACUUAAUUAUCCUGAACAUAGUCAAAAGCCCUUUGCAAAUUAUGUCAUAGCUCGCGCUUUAGUUCUACUGUUUAGAUAUGUUCCUAGAGAAAAUAUAGUUGAAAGUUGACAGUAGCGAUUAUGCGGACAGUAGAAAGCUUAUGUCCUUAAUGCACCGCUCAGUGUGCUGAACCCCAAACGUCGUCUGUGGAUGUUGCGAACAUCGGACAUACACGUUUUGAUAACUACGUGAUACUUCAGUUAAACAGUUUAGAGUUGAGGCACCAAAGACGUUUUCGAAACGUCGCGGAACAUAUGAGAUGUUUCGAGGGCUGAAAUUGGGAUUUCAGGCUCGUGCCCACGUCAAGAGGUAUAAGACCUCCGACGAUUUUCUAAGCCUGCAAACUAAAGGAGAAAAGCUCAAUCGUUGAGCUUGUGCUUAGAUUGUCUGAGUGCAACAAUCACUUAAAUCGAGUGGGAGUUGAUCUUCUAGAUGAGAUAGUGAUGUUUCUCCAAAGUCAUUGCCACCAAGCUGCUAGAGCUUCGUGAUGAACUAUAACAUAUCAGGGAUAGAUAUGAUGAUCCUUGAGGUAUUCGCGAUGUUUGACACCGUGAAAGUAGAAAUCAAGAAGGAGCAUCAAUUGUUGAUGGUUAGUGAAACCACUAGUUUCAAGAAGGGCAAGGGCAAGAAGGGAUACUUCAUGAAACGGCAAAUCAGCUGCUGCUCUAGUGAAGAAACCCAAGGUUGAACCCAAACCCGAGACUAAGUGCUUCUGUAAUGAGAGGAAUGGACACUGAAGCGGAACCACCCUAGAUACUUGGUAGAUGAGAAGGCUGGCAAGGUCGAUAGAAGUAUAUUUGAUAUACAUUAUGUUAAUAUGUACUUUACUAGUACUCCUAGUAGCACCACGGUAUUAGAUACCGGUUCGGUUGCUAAGUGUUAGUAACUCGAAAUAAAAGCUACGGAAUAAACGGAGACUAGCUAAAGGUGAGCCGACAAUAUGUGUUGGAAGUGUUUCCAAGGUUGAUGUGAUCAAGCAUCGCACGCUCCCUCUGCCAUCGAGAUUGGUGUUAAACCUAAAUAAUUGUUAUUUGGUGUUUGCGUUGAGCAUAGACAUGAUUGGAUUAUGUCUAUCGCGGUACGGUUAUUCAUUUAAGGAGAAUAAUGGUUACUCUGUUUAUUUGAAUAAUACCUACAAUGGUCUUGCACCUAAAAUGAAUGGUUUAUUGAAAUCUCGAUCGUAGUGAUACACAUUUUCAUGCCAAAAGAUAUAAGAUAGUAAUGAUAGUACCACCUGCUUGUGGCACUGCCAUUUGAGUCAUAUUGGUAUAAAAGGCAUGAAGAAGCUCCAUGUUGAUGGAUCUUUGGACUCACUCGUUUUGAAAAGUUUGAGACAUGUGAACCAUGUUUAUUGGUGUAUACGCAUGAAGAAACUCCAUGCAGAUGGAUCGUUUCGACUCACUUGAUUUUGAAUCACUUGAGGUAUGCAAAUCAUACCACAUGGGCAAGAUGACUGAAAAGCCUCGGUUUCAGUAAGAUGGAACAAGAUAGCAACUUGUAGGAAGUAACAAAUUUUGAUGUGUGCAGUCCAAUGAGUGCUGAGGCAUGCAGUGAAUAUCGUUAUGUUCUUACUUCACGGAUGAUUUAAGUAGAUUCUGAGUGUAUUUACUUGAUGAAACACAAGUCUGAAUUAUUGAAUGGUUCAAGUAAUUUCAGAGUGAAGUUAAAGAUCAUCGUGACAAGAGGAUAACAUGUCUAUGAUAUGAUCAUAGAGAUGAGUAUCUGAGUUACGAGCUUUGGCACGCUAUUAAGACAUUGUGGAAAUUGUUUCACAAUUAAUACAGCCUGGAACACCAUAGUGUGAUGGUGUGUCCGAACAUCAUAGUUGCACCCUAUCAGAUAUGGUGCGUACCAUGAUGUCUCUUAUCGAAUUACCACUAUCGUUCAUGGGUUAGGCAUUAGAGACAACCGCACUCACUUUAAUAGGGCACCACGUAAUUCCGUUGAGAUGGCACUGUUUGAACUAUGGUUUGGAGAAACCUAAGUUGUCGUUUCUUAAAAGUUUGGGGCUGCGACGCUUAUGUGAAUAAGUUUCAUUGUGAUAAGGUCGAACCCAAAAACGGAUAAAUACAUCUUCAUAGGACACCCAAAACAGUUGGGUAUACCUCCUAUCUCAAGAUCCGGAAGCAAAAGUAAUUGUUUCUAGAAACGGGUCCUUUCUCGAGGAAAAGUUUAUCUCGAAAGAAUUGAGUGGGAGGAUGGUGGAGACUUGAUGAGGUUAUUGAACCAUCACUUCAACUAGUGUGCAGCAGGGCACAGGAAGUUGUUCCUGUGGCACCUACACCAAUUGAAGUAGAAGCUUAUGAUAGUGAUCAUGAAGUUUCGGAUCAAGUCACUACCGUACCUCGUAGGGUGACAAGGAUGCGUACUACUUCAGAGUGGUACAGUAAUCCUGUCUUGAAGGUCAUAUUGCUAGAUGAACCUACGAGCUAUGGAGAAGCGAUGGUGGGCCCAUAUUCCGACAAAAUGGUUAGAAGCCAUGAAAUCCGAGAUAGGAUCCAUGUAUCAGAACAAAGCAUGGACUUUGGUGGACUUGCCCGAUAGGCAAGCCAUUGAGAUAAGUGGAUCUUUAAGAAGAAGACGGACGAGGACGGUAAUGUCACCGUCUAUGAAGCUCGACUUGUGGCGAAGAGUUUUUCAUAAGUUCAAGGAGUUGACUACGAUGAGAUUUUCUCAUCCGUAGUGACGCUUAAGUCCGUCGGAAUCAUGUUAGCAUUAGCUGCAUUUAUGAAAUCUGGCAGAUGGAUGUCAAAACGAGUUUCCUUACCAGUCUUCGUAAGGAAAGGUUGUAUGUGAUACAAUCAGAAAGUUUUUGUCGAUCCUAAGGAUGCUAAAAGGUAUACUGGCUCCAGCGAUCCUUCUAAGGACUGGAGUAAGCAUCUCGGAGUUGGAAUGUGCGCUUUGAUGAGAUGAUCAAAGAUUUUGGGUUUAUACAAAGUUUAUGAGAAACUUGUAUUUCCAAAGAAGUGAGUGGGAGCACUAUAGAAUUUCUGAUGAGUAUAUGUUGUUGACAUAUUGUUGAUCAGAAAUGAUGUAGAAUUUCUGGAAAGCAUACAGGGUUAUUUGAAAGAUGUUUUUCAAUAGAAAACCUGGAUUAAGCUACUUGAACAUUGAGCAUCAAGAUCUAUAAGGAUAGAUCAAAAACGCUAAAUGGUACUUUCAAAUGAGCACAUACCUUGACAUAAUCUUGAAGGUGUUCAAGAUGGAUCAGUCAAAGAAUGAGUUCUUGCCUGAUUUGUAAUGUAUGAAGUUAAGAGUUAAAGCUCGACCACGGCAGAAAAGAGAGAAAGGACGAAGGUCGUCCCCUAUGCCUUGGACGUAGGCUCUACAGUAUGCUAUGCUGUGUACCGCACCGGAAGUGUGCCUUGCCAUGAGUCAGUCAAGGGGUACAAGAAUGAUCCAGGAAUGGAUCAUUGGACAGCGGUCAAAAUUGUCCUUGGAGUAAAUAAGGACAUGUUUCUCGAUUAUGGAGGUGAUAAAGAGUUCGGCGUAAAGGGUUACGUCGAUGCAAGCUUUAACACCUAUCCGAGUGACUCUGAGUAGCAAACCGGAUACGUAUAGUGGAGCAACCAUUUGGAAUAGCUCCAAGUGGAGCGUGGAAGCAACGUUUACAAUAUGACCUAGAAAUUUGCAAAGCACACACGGAUCUGAAAGGUUCAGAUCCGUUGACUAAAACCUCUCUCACAAGCAAAACAUGAUCAAACCUCAGAACUCAUUGAGUCUUAAUCACAUGAUAAUGUGACCUAGUUUAGUGACAAUAGUAAACUCUUUGGAUGUUGGUCACAUGGCGAUGUAACCUGUGAGUGUUAAUGACAUGGCGAUGUGAACUAGAUUAUUGACUCUAGUGCAAGUGGGAGACUAUUGGAAAUAUGCCCUAGAGGCAAUAAUAAAUUAGUUGUUAGUAUAUUUCCUUGUUCAUGGUAAUCAUUUAUUAUCCAUGCUAUAAUUGUAUUGAAAGGAAACUCAGAUACAUGUCUGGGUACAUAGACAACACCAUGUCCCUAGUAAGCCUCUAGUUGACUAGCUCGUUGAUCAAUAGAUGGUUACGGUUUCUUGACCAUGCACAUUGGAUGUCGUUGAUAACGGGAUCACAUCAUUAGGAGAAUGAUGUGAUGGACAAGACCCAAUCCUAAGCCUAGCACAAAGAUCGUAGUUCGUAUCCUAAAGCUUUUCUAAUGUCAAGUAUCAUUUCCUUAGACCAUGAGAUUGUGCAACUCCCGGAUACCGUACGAAUGCUUUGGGUGUACCAAACGUCACAACGUAACUGGGUGGCUAUAAAGGUGCAUUACAGGUAUCUCCGAAAGUGUCUGUUGGGUUGGCAUGAAUCGAGACUGGGAUUUGUCUCUCCGGUUGACGGAGAGGUAUCUCUGGGCCCACUCGGUAGGACAUCAUCAUAAUGUGCACAAUGUGACCAACGGGUUGAUCACGGGAUGAUGUGUUAUGGAACGAGUAAAGAGACUUGCCGGUAACGAGAUUGAACAAGGUAUCGGGAUACCGACAAUCGAAUCUCGGGCAAGUACAAUACCGCUAGACAAAGGGAAUUGUAUACGGGAUUGAUUGAGUCCUUGACAUCGUGGUUCAUCCGAUGAGAUCAUCGUGGAACAUGUGCGAGCCAACAUGGGUAUCCAGAUCCCGCUGUUUGUUAUUGACCGGAGAAUGUCUCGGUCAUGUCUGCAUGGUUCCCGAACCCGUAGGGUCUACACACUUAAGGUUCGAUGAUGCUAGGGUUAUAAUGGAAGUUUGUAUGUGGUUACCGAAUGUUGUUCGGAGUCCCGGAUGAGAUCCCGGACGUCACGAGGAGUUCCGGAAUGGUCCGGAGGUAAAGAUUUAUAUAUGGGAAGUCCUGUUUUGGUCACCGAAAAGGUUUCGGGUUUUAUCGGUAAACGUACCGGGACCACCGGGAGGGUCCCGGGGGUCCACCAAGUGGGGCCACCGGCCCCGGAGGGCUGCAUGGGCCAAUUGUGGGAGGGGGCCAGCCCCAGGUGGGCUGGUGCGCCCCCCACAAGGGCCCAAGGCGCCUAGGGUUUGGGGGAACCCUAAAAGGGGGCGCCCCCCCUUGCCUUGGGGGGCAAGGCAACCCCCCUGGCCGCCGCCCCCUCCUCAGAUUGGAUCUGAGGGGGCCGGCCCCCCUCUCCCUUGCCCCUAUAUAUAUGUGGGGGUUGGGAGGGCAGCCGCACCCAAGUUCUGGCGCAGCCCUCCCCCUCUCCCAAGUCCUCCUCCUCUCCCGCGGUGCUUGGCAAAGCCCUGCAGGAUUGCCACGCUCCUCCACCACCACCACGCCGUUGUGCUGCUGCUGGAUGGAGUCUUCCUCAACCUCUCCCUCUCUCCUUGUUGGAUCAAGGCAUGGGAGACGUCACCCGGCUGUACGUGUGUUGAACGCGGAGGUGCCGUCCGUUCGGCACUAGGAUCUCCGGUGAUUUGGAUCACGACGAGUACAACUCCUUCAACCCCGUUCUCUUGAACGCUUCCGCUUAGCGAUCUACAAGGGUAUGUAGAUGCACUCUCCUUCCCCUCAUUGCUGGUUUCUCCAAAGAUAGAUCUUGGUGACACGUAGGAAAAUUUUGAAUUUCUGCUAUGUUCCCCAACAGUCACAACAGUGCAUCCCGUGUCUUGCGUACCUGCAUCCAGGUGCCUCUCUCACAUGAAACUUGCGAUGACUCUUAAAUGCCCCAUCGUGUCGCACAACCUUGGCUCUGCACACUUCCAAACCGUGACCCUGUAACUAUGUAUUCGGAGCUCACCUCUGCUACUCCGUCCACGUGCCUCUGGAUGGAUGCUUGUGGUGCCUUCAUUUCUGUAGAGACUUCAAUUCCAUGCCUCCGACACCUGCAGUAACACAUGCCAGUGGCUCUAGAGACUGCAAACCUGUGCCUCUCUAAUUGCGUACUCCAACCCAUGCCACUCUUGCCACUCCUCAACAAGCCGCGCUUGUGUGCACAACUAAAUUGUACUUAGCGUAAAAAUACUGCUUUGUAUUUUGUUGUUUUUAGACUAAAAAUCCACAUUACUACUUCAAAAUCACAUGAUUGCUGUAUAAACAUAGUACUUAGCAAGCUAAAUAACUUGUUCAAUCACAUAAACGAACUACAAACUUGACAUAAGCAAACUUGUUUAACCUGAUACAGAUGACAUUAGAAACUGCUUCGUUCUAACAGAAGUAAACUACGAACCUGAAACAAUAGAAAGGACAAGCAGAAACACAAACAACUCCACGACUAGUUUUCUAUGUUUUCGUCAUCACUAGUAGACGUAGUAAGGAUAAUCAUAAUUCUUCUCUGCCUCUUUUGCACUCUCUAGUCCUUCUCUGAUGUUUUAAAUUCUCUUCCAAGACUCGUAGGUGGCGUACGCAUCUAUCGCUGCAUACUUGAUGAGGUAAUUUCGGAGUGGGCUGAUCCCCCACAGUUUAUGGUCUUCAACCCUGUCAAUCUUAUCCUUCAUCUGUUUGUAGAAUGGGUGGAUCACGCUCCCUGCAAUUGAGCCAAAGAGUGUUACCUCUUUAUUCCCUCGAACCGAACUCUCCAUUUGCGCUGGAUGUCGAUGUACUUGUCGGGGUUGAUCUCCAAACCAGAACUUCGCAACAUCUCUUUGUCACCUUCAAUACUGAAGCCGGCAAAGGUGUAGAACAUGUCCUCCUUCAGGAACGGGCGCAGGCUCUUGGGCCUACAAGGGGGAUGACACAUUUAAGGUGGAUCCAUCAUGUAUCCAUCAAGUAAAUACUUAUAUAGUACGUAUAAUUUGUGGACGAAAAAAAUUCAGAAACUGAUAUGCAGAGUUCAGAAAUAAAAUACAAGCACAGCAUGUCAUUUUUAUUUUUGGUAUUUACACUUGAAUAAAUGACCUAUCUACUCCUUACCCACGUUAACGCAUCAAUUCAAGAAACUGAACUACACUAGAACAUCAAAUAUAGAAACUACACUAGAACAGAAAGUGCACUAGAACAUCAAGUUCAGAAAAUAAUCUCAUACAUCAAAUUCAUAAAUUAAUCUAGUGCAUCAAAUACAUAAACUGAUCUGGUGAGUGAAUUUCAAAAUCUUUUCUGCUGCAUCUACUUCAGAAACUUCACUGAUACAUCAAUUCAAUAAACCAAUUUAAUCAAAUUUCAUGGUGAAAUGCUAAUUAAACAGAAGCAUGGAGAGGUUGAAGCUUUAGGAUGGUUCACCAUUUUGUUACCGCGGUGAUGUGGUAUACCAGACAGAGUUCCUCCAUGCAUAACUGGAGAACCGCUGCCCUCUGCGGAGAUUCGUCUUCCCUAGUAUACUCGACAUCAACGCCGAUGUACUGACGGUACAAGCCGCAGACCCUCUUCAGGAUCCUGCUGAUCAUCUUGUCGGCUUCAUGAGGAUUGAUGGUGCAUACGACAUCCAGCUUUUCCUUGCCAUUGAUGCCAACCUCCUUGAGGUGCACUUUGUAGUCAUGCUUCUGACCGUGGACCUAAACAUCGUCAACCUCGAUGCUCUGGUCGAACGUCUCACCACGGGGACGCUUGGCAGACAGUUCCUCCGCCAUUACGCUCCUCCGGCGAUGGCAGCCUUGACACAGAGAUUGUGAGGAGCUGCUAGUUGAGUUGGAGCGGCAAUAGUGUUUUUGGAAUUGAGCGGCCAUGGAAGCGCAGUUGCCCUUUUGUGCCAAGGUUUGGGUCAUGGAGGAGGUGGUUGGAUGCGGCCUCGUCGUGGUAAUGAGGGUAGUAGACAUGCGCUUGCGGUUGCUGUGCCCCGGGGCAACUGCCGAGUGGCAGUGCUCGCGGUUGCCGGGAAAAAGCAACCAUCAAAUCGUCUGAUUAAGCACGUAACAAAUGUUUUUGCAUAAACCAUUCAAGCACACACUGCACUAGCACGCUUAGAUAGCGUGCACUGCGUUCAGAUACUAAGCACUUACUAUGUUGA